RNAcentral lists this ribosomal RNA (253 nucleotides) under uncultured bacterium. Its description in RNAcentral is "partial 16S ribosomal RNA". It matches the Rfam family "Bacterial small subunit ribosomal RNA", at positions 524 to 776 of the family's 1533-position model. The record is from RNAcentral.
UACGUAGGGUGCAAGCGUUGUCCGGAAUUAUUGGGCGUAAAGAGCUCGUAGGCGGUUCGUCGCGUCGGCUGUGAAAACCCGGAGCUCAACUCCGGGCCUGCAGUCGAUACGGGCGGACUCGAGUUCGGCAGGGGAGACUGGAAUUCCUGGUGUAGCGGUGAAAUGCGUAGAGAUGUGGAGGAACACCAGUGGCGAAGGCGACUCUUUGGCCUGUAACUGACACUGAGGCGCGAAAGCGUGGGGAGCAAACAGG